This 21-nucleotide non-coding RNA is filed under the name Dasypus novemcinctus (nine-banded armadillo). Its record names the gene dno-miR-299-5p. Lineage: Eukaryota; Metazoa; Chordata; Mammalia; Cingulata; Dasypodidae. RNAcentral also lists the same sequence under 6 other names. The record is from miRBase by way of RNAcentral.
UGGUUUACCGUCCCACAUACA